Homo sapiens (human) is the source of this 626-nucleotide long non-coding RNA. Lineage: Eukaryota; Metazoa; Chordata; Mammalia; Primates; Hominidae. The record is from Ensembl.
ACCCUAAGGCUGAGAUUCUGCACAAAAGCUUUGUCUCUCCUGCACACGGGCACCCUAAGGCUGAGCAGCACUCUCUGCCGGGUGACUGCGCCAGCGCCCAGACCACCUGCUGGAGAAAGAAAGCAUGGCACGUUGAAGGUGAGAAAAUGGAGGCUCAGGAAACAGGGUCAUCCAGCCAGUGACCAGUUCAGAUUAGCAAGCAGGUCUCCUGUCCUCCCUGCCACAGCCACAGUUGGAAUCACGGAUCUCAGUUAAAGCCAUCUGGCCCCAAGCACGUGGGCAGCUGGUCAUGGGGUGAAAUGGGAAAUGCCCUAACCUCCCCUUACAAGAGUCUGUGGAAGCAGAGUCCCAGCCUCAGGAACAGAAUCAUUAAAUCCUGCUCAUUUUAAGGGCAGAGGCAGAGAGGGAAGGAAGGCUCUGUCCCUCCUCAUCCACCCAAGACUGGGAUUCUGGGUAGCACUGACUCAGAAGAGGCUUGGAGACCCCCAAGAGCAGGCCCCCGCACUUGCUGGUGGCUGAUUCCCAGCCUGUGGGCAUGGAUUUGGGAGGAAUUACACUGUGCAAAUGAACACGGUUUUUGCAGACUUGUGGGACCUGCCAGCUCUCUCAGUUUAACUAGAUCUCUG